Peromyscus leucopus (white-footed mouse) is the source of this 1957-nucleotide long non-coding RNA. RefSeq lists it as uncharacterized. Lineage: Eukaryota; Metazoa; Chordata; Mammalia; Rodentia; Cricetidae. The transcript is spliced from 2 exons. The record is from RefSeq and is a predicted model, not a curated record.
AGCUGUACCAAAGUGGUUUGACAUGGGAAGGGAACAGGCAGUUUUCCGAGAAGCAGAGAUCUGGAGACAGCAUGUGAAGAGCUUCAGGGUUAUUUAAAUUUGAGUUGACUGCUGCAUGAAGAGUAAAAUGUGGUAAGAGCUCUGCAUGUGGAGUGUCUGAAGUCAUGAAGCCCCUGGUUACCAUUCUGUUGGAAGUAUCACAUGAUGCUGAGUGGCACUUUAUUUCCAGAAACUAGACUCGACAUAGCUGAGCAAUGUCUUUUAAAAACUGUACCUAUUGGACGUGUUGCUGUGGCCCCUUGUUGUUGAAUCUGUGGUGUGUUGAGCGACACACUUGACCAGCAUGGAUAUGGCCAGUCAGAAGGCCUGGGAGCAGUUGGCAGUCUGACCCUAGGGAAUGGAGCUGAGUUUGUCUAGGCUCUGAAAUCCCAGGAGUACACAUGAUCCCCACUGUGUCUUUUCCAGUGUUUUAAAAGUGCUCUCGAGAGCUUUGUUUUUGUAUAUGAUCCAUAUAAUCCUAACAUGCGUGCUGUUAUUUCCUUGGAUUCCUUUCUUUGCCCAUAUAAGCACAUGGUUUACAGAGUUUUACGUAUGCUACAAAUAUAUUUUCUUGAUUCCUUUUUUAUUUUCGUCAAAAUUCUUUCUUUAUAUUUCUAAUAAUAACAGCUGUAUGUUACUCGAUAUUUUGUUUUGUAAUUCAAAUAUUAGACAGUUAGUUUGCUUCCAAAUCCUGCUGCUCUGAAUGAUGCUGGGAGUCAUAUAACAUCUUCACAUCAACAGCUCUUCCCACACCCUCAAUUUGAUUGUUCACUGAGCGGGGGGCAGGCAACCCCUCAAAUGUGAGAUUGUGACUACAGAAGUGUAAACAUUUGCCAGGCCCCUAACCCUGUUGGGAACGCUCCAUGCUCGGUCCCUUCAUCUCUAAAAUGAGAUUUUAAUAACGUGUAAUGUGUAUUCAGUACGAGUUGGUCCCUCCUGCCGUUCCACCACCGUUAAGGCUCCUGCUGGUAUUGUUUUAACACAGCUUUGUCUUCUUAAAGGAAGCGGAUAUAUCAACACUAUCUUGAUCAUCAGACCGCUCUAAGGCUUUCUGUUUUCUCUUCGUCUUUGCAAAAUGAUUUCAGCUGUUGAUUUUUUAUUUCUCCUGAGUGCCAACAGCUCCCUUCUUACAACAGUGGUCUUACUUCCCCCAUUUUCUUCUAUUUUUAUCAAGAAAAUUAGAGUAUAUUCUGAAAGAAAUACUGUUGUCUCCCUCUCCUUCAUCGUCUAUUCAGGAGGAUGUAAGACUCUGACCUCUAGUGGCUGUGAGCUGUAGUUGCAGGCCAAGGCCACAGAACAGCAGCCUGCUUCAGGUCUGGAGGGAUGAGCGCCCAAAGGUUUGAAAACUCUUUCGAUGCAUUGGACUAGUUGCUGUGUCAGUCAAGACACUCUUCUUCUUCCUUGCCAAGGAAUUACUUUAUAACGCUGCUUCCAAAAACCACACCAUUUUAAGUAAGUGUUGUGAAGACAACAGUCUCAAAAUCAGUGUUGUUACAAACCAUCUACCCAGUACUACCACUGCCCAGCAAACCGUCUGCCCAGUACUACCACUGCCCAGCGACACACGUCCAGAGACUUCAGAAGACAGCGAUGGACUACCAAAUUUUAGGAGGCCUUAGGGGCUCUAGAAUAUCUUUAAAUAAAAUAUAGCUUAUUUUCAAAAAUGAUACCUCACAAAAUUUAGUUGUAUUUUUAAAAUAAAAGCCCGAGAAGUGCUUCUCAGGUACAUUUAUUUAUUUAUCAACAUGAUAUGAAGAAUAAAAGAGUAGAUCUAGAAGUUCACAUAAAGCUCAGUGGAACACACACGAGAUAUUUGUAUGUUUUUAGGUGUUGUGUGAAAUGAGGUACCAUAACCAUUUGAUUUAUUUUUAUUAAGCUUUUGUUAUCUUACUUUAAUAAAAACCAAUUUUCAAAGUGA